AAAAAAAAUUCAAAUUGUUUCUAUGUUGUCUGUAUACAGUUAAUUCAAAUUGUAUGUAGUAAUUGUGUAUUGACCUUGUAAGGGAGAAGAAGUAAUAUCUUUUCAUCACCCAUUACAAGGUUGAUGGCUGACACCUUUAUAAAGGAAGACAAAUCAACGAGAGAAAAGCAUAACCAAUUUACUUAACCAAAGUUUUAGAUGACAUAAAGAACCCAGGAAAUACUUCAGAAAUAAAGAACCCAGGAAAACUGUGUAUUUUUAUGCUUGGGUGUAGUGAAGAAUGGGCAUUCACUUAGAAGUAUGAUUGGAUAACAAGGGGGUAUGACCUUAGCAAUGGUUUUUAGUUUAGAUUCUUCUUGGCCUCUGGGUAGAGGGGAAGAACUCUCUGGAAGGAGUCUUAUGACUUCCUUUCAGGGGAGAUAGGUCAAAUAAUUCUUUUAUGACCAUGCUUCAGAGAAGAAAGAAGAAGGUCAGAGAAGGAAAAAGAGAAGAUAAAGAAACUGAGGCUCAAUGAACUUGUAACGCUUUAGUGUCAGAGCUCUAGAAUGGGUGAAGGCCAGAUUCAGACCCAGGCAUCGUGACUCCCAAGUCUGCUUGUGGAUCCUUGAAAGCAAGGGUGAGCCAUAAGCAUUGCACCUUUGAGAGAACUGGUAAGUUAGAACCGCAGGGACUUCUGAGAGCUUCCUUCAUCAUUUUCUGCAUGCCUCCCAGUGUGCAUAGUCUCUGCUCCUUCUCCCGUUAGCAUGAGCCGUGUGUGUGAUACAGUGUGAGCACUGGUGUGGAGGGUUCAGAUCCAUGUGGGUGGCCCCCACACUCUAGCCAAGUGAGCAUGUAAAGAUGUUUUUAUGUAGCUUCAUCGAUAAUUAACUUCCACUCUCUGCCUCAUUCCAUGCCUCCCCACUUGCCUUCCUCCCUCCCUCCAGCCUGGGUGCUUGGGGGCCUAGGCUGGGGACCUCACUGUGACUAGCUUAGCAAUUCUCUAGCUCCAGGAGGCUGCCAGGACCCAGGCGGGAGUGCAGGAAGUUUUCAAGGUCUGUGCUCCAGGGUGUGUGAUGACUUGACUGCUCCCUGAAGAGCUCGCUGCUUAUAAUCGCAUAGUUUUUGGCAUGUGCUCUCUGACAAAAGAACAGAUGUUUCCUACAAGAACAAAAGAACAGGGCAUAACUGUUGGCCUAACGCUUUGCCACUAAUAACAUUGAAAGUGGAAGCAACAAGUCCUAACGAGAAGGUCCCUACAGGAUCAUGAAGCCAGUGCCAGGGAAUUGGAGUCAAAAUGAAAGAACUCACGGCUGCUUUUACGUUUUAAUAGGCAGUGUGCUGGAUGUUUUUUAACCUCUUUGGAUAAAUAGCAACAGGCUAUUCUUUCUAGCUGUGUUCAUGAAUUUUGUAGCUGUACAGUAAUGAUGGCUUCACAAGUUCCCUUACAAGAUCCCAAGCCCGUGUCCAUUUCAGAGACACACUGAGAGGGUUAUGACAGGCUCGGCCAACCCUGCAGCAUCAGCCUACAGUCCAUAUAUGGGGGAAGCCUUAGCUAAAUCGCAGCUCUCAGCCAAACUAAAAACACCAGAGCAAGUUUUUCUCUUUGUUGCUGGCUGGAACUUCAAAGCACGGAGAGCCCACACACAAAAAUGAAAAACAAAGAACCCUAAAAAAGGGCCCAGCCUCAGAGCCCACCCCCAAAAGUUUAGUAUGCCUCUUGUGUUAAAAACCUUUCACCCCAUAUGUCACAUGUCACCCAGGGUUUCAGUCGCGUUCCUAGAGUCAUUCCUCUGAUUUUUCAUCUCUGAAGAAUAUCUUCUUUGAGGUUGUCCUUGGCUUUCGCCCAAAGGAAAGACAUUUAUUUUUUCUCAUUCUUUCCCCCAACCACCUACCCUGACUAUUUCUUCAAACUAACAGACACAGUGAAAAUAUUAUUUAAAUGUUUUUAACUUCUUUUACCAUGAACUGUUGUCACCAAAAAGGUUCAAUGUUCGGGUUUAGUAAGUCAUGGUUAGCAAAGAACAUUCACAGCAUCUGAUGUCAACAGGAUCUUUACAAAUCUCUCCUCCUAUUUCCCUUGGACUUUAUUGAGAGGGAUGGAUACUAUAUCCCAAUGUGGCAACUGGACAUCCUCAUUUAUAUUUGUGGUCCCAGCUUAUACCUUUUUCCUGAUGUUCUGUUUGCUGAUUUGCAUGAUUCAUUAUAUGAUCACCUCUUCUUUAAGAAGGGGUUUUGAAAAUAUUUCUUAUGAUUCUAGCAAUUUAUAUCAAAUUUUAUGGUGCUAUCAUUAUAAUGCGAAUGUGGGAAAUGCAGAACCAAAACCUUGAAGCGACUUGAAAUUUUCAUAAGGCAAAUCCAUUCAUCACAUAUACAUUUGAGUCCAUGUUAUUUUUCUGAAAAUGUGGUUGAGCUAAUGCAAUUAUGAAAAUGUUGUUUCUUGGAAAUGAAAAGGUUUUGUGUUCAGCAGGGUACAUAAAGUAGGUGUAAGCACUCUCAUAUUUGGGCUCCAAAUAUGGGUUACAUGUUGAGACUGAGUGCCAGUUGAGGAGCACAUUAAAAAAACACCCAAUCAUAUGAUUGUGUUAUUCAUAGUUAUACAUUCUGUGUCCCAGAGACUAAAUAUCAACAGCAGAUUCCUUCAAAGAUUGGAUGGGUAUGAGUGACAAAGUGACGGAUCUUAACAUCUUGAAAUGGUGGCAGAAUUGAGUUAGCUGUUUUUAUAAAAAAAAAUAGGCCAGGACGGAAGUUAGACACAUUAGUGCUGCUGAAUUUGUUUUGAAUCAACUCUGUGGCUCUAGGCAACCAGAUUUCUCUCCAUGUGUCGGUUUCCUGAUCUGCAAAAUGGGCAUAAAUGUGUUUUCUCUAGGACCUCUCUCAAAAUUCUCACGAAGAUAAAACAGGCCUUUAUUUGGGAUAGUGCUUUGAAAGUAACGCAUAUUACACAUGUUUCUCAAGCUGUACUUAAAACAGCAGGCUGUGAUUUUGAGGCAGCCACAUCAGAAGGUGUCUGGAGCUCUCGGCCUCUGUGGGGCAUGCUCAGAGUGAAUUGAAAUUUUUGGUCAGUGAAUCCUGGUGGCUAAAUGACUAUUUUCCAUAUUUAAUUCAUCUAUUUUUAGCUUAUUUUCAUGACUUGAUUCAGAACUUAAUAGAAACAAAUGUGCAUCUAUUACAAUUCAAAAUUGAACUUCCUGGGUGGUGUUGGGUGGGAGAAACAGAGAUUGAAAUGAGAGAGAGAGAGAGGAAAACUUAACAUUUCUAUGGUAAUAAAAAAGUAGUUUUUACAAAACUGAAAACACUAAAAAUUGAACCCACAAAAAUGGUAUGAUGAAACCAACUGAAUUUCUGCAUUUGGAAGCAAACCAGAACUCGGUGACUGUACUCAGGUCUCUCUCUUCUUUUCAAACUGUUGGAUGCCUUUGCUUCAUCGCUGUGUUGUUGAUGUUUGCAUUUUAAUUAUAACAAUGACACUUACCUGUCCCUAUUUAAGCCAUCAUGAAAACUCUGUGUUGAAAAUCUGCUUGACUGGAUGAAAAGUCUAAAAAACGCAGGAGGAUAGCACUGCUGUCCCCAAGCCAUAUGGGCAAGUGAUUUGAGGUCAUUUUCCAGCAGGAGUGACAAAUUUAACUCAAGUGGUCUCCCCUUCUACCUCCCAUUUCUUGUGGGUAAGGUCUGGGUCAAUGAUUAUAGUCAGUGACUACGAAUGAGUGGAUUUCUAGGGAGAGGCACAUGUAUCCUGUUAGGCUGUCAGUAUGCCGUGGUUUGCCUGAGAGAGUGCAGGUUUACCCCUGUGGCCCAGCCCGAUGAUUAAUUGUACCUCUUUUCAUUCCUAAGGUGUUUGGAUUUGGGUGAGAAGUUGUGUGAUCAUACUAUUCAUGCUGGGUGCUGAGCACACAACCUGGGCAUUAGGGUCUCUGUGUCCUCAUCAAGUGGGAGGUCUGGCCCAGAUAACAUAAACCAGUUGUCAUUGCAUGGGAUCAGGGUAGACCUAGGUGCUUUGAUGACAAUCUGUUGGUCUGUGCUCUUCCCUUUAAUAUAUAUUCCCAAACUAAUUGUCUCACUAAAUUCACUAAGUGCAGUUUCUGGCUGCAACAUUUCUACUUGGGAAAGACGCCAGAAUUGUCAGCCAGUAAAGACUUCAGACCUUUCUUGGCCAAUUUGCCAAAAAAACAUCAGAGGGAGUUAUUGAUCUUUUCCCUUGUACUCAUUCAGCUAAUUUUUUUUUCUGUUUCCUUUCUUUUCUUCUUCUUAAGCUGACAUCCAAUAAAAGCUAUUUCUUUGAGGUGCCAGCAACAUGUCAGCACCAAUACCAUUGACAAUAUGAAUUGUAGUCCCCCCACCUCCAUUUCUCUACAAAUGUCCUUUUCUUGGUUCUGUUGACAACACAGGUAUUUGUCAAGCUUUGCUUUCCUCUUGCAUUUAUUCAUGGGUGACUUUGAACCUGGACUGGUUCAUGGGACUAAAUUCCAUUUGGAUACUGUGUUUGAAUACUACUGCAAGUUGCAUGCUUAAAAAUUUAUUAAACAGUAUACACCACUUAUCAGAGCAAUCUUAUUUUAUACUUAAUUUAUAGAAGAAAGCCCAGUAGAUUAGUCAGGGACAUCUCAAUAGCUAGUUUCUCAGCAGGAGCAAAUUUUGGAUUUGGCCUUCAGAAAUAUGAACUAUUCUUUCAGAAAUUUCUGGCACUGAAUAGUGCUACACUUCCCCCCGUGAGAGCUGUUCACUUACCACCUUUUCUUAGCUGGAGGCCCAGGCUCAUACUAGCCUAUGAGGUACAAUUAAAGAGGAGGCCUAGAGAAUUGCAGGCAUAAUUACCACAGAGAUGGGCAAGGUAGUUAUGGUGACAAUAAAUAUGUAAGAUAUCUGGGAAGC
This 4848-nucleotide long non-coding RNA is filed under the name Homo sapiens (human). RNAcentral's name for it is "HSALNT0115556". Lineage: Eukaryota; Metazoa; Chordata; Mammalia; Primates; Hominidae. The record is from RNAcentral.